RNAcentral lists this long non-coding RNA (1086 nucleotides) under Sparus aurata (gilthead seabream). RNAcentral's name for it is "lncRNA (ENSSAUG00010006286.1)". Lineage: Eukaryota; Metazoa; Chordata; Actinopteri; Spariformes; Sparidae. The record is from RNAcentral.
AUGAUCCAGAACCUGACCCACUCUGACUCCGGCCAGUACCAAGAGGAGUGUUGGGGCAAUGUGACAUAUGCGAAAAGCAUCAAUGUUAUUGUUUGUAGUACGAUACAUUUUCACAGAAUUGUUGAUGUUACAGUUGGAGAAACAGUGGACCUGCCAUGUGAGGGAGCAGCUGACAAUCUGGACAUCCAGUGGCUCAAGAGUGAUUCUGGAUAUUGGAACAACAUUUGGACAAGAGUUUUUGGGGACAGUGUAACAUCAGUGAUGGACGAUGUUGAAGGAAAAUCCCAAGAGGUGAAAACCUCAUCAGGACUUCGUAUUUACAACCUCACGUUAACACGGUUCAAAUAUUACAACUGUCUGGUGAUGAACCAACAGCAGUGUGUCAGCAGUCACCCUGUAAUGUUACAACUACCAUCGGAGUUGAUCCUCCGCACAGUGGGAGAGACAGCUGUGUUACAGUGCCCUGCUGCUGAGUUCACUGACGACCAGCCUCCACUUUGGAACAAGUAUGAGGAUGACUACAACUCUGAGGUGGGCAAAAACUAUUCACUGGUGCUUUCAUCACUUCAGUUAAAUCACUCAGGUAUAUACUAUUGUCAAAUCUACAACCAUGUUCAAUGGUAUCACCUGUUGGUGUGCCCCAAAUCUGACCCACCUGCUGUCGAGCUCUUCUCAGAAGGAGACAAUGUCACUUUCAGAUGCAGAGAUUUGAAAGAGGGUAGAGGGCACUUCUGGUUCAUCAAGUCAAACCAAACAGAAGGCAGAUUCUUGGUUCAAGAUGAUAUAACAUCUGAUCUGAAGAGCAGACUGAACAUAUCUAAAGAUGAUGGCUUGUUGAUUCUCUCUAAUGUCUCACUGGAAGACACAGGAGAGUACUGGUGUGAUGUUUAUGACCCAGAUGGACAGUGUGUGUCAUCCUCCAGAACUGUUCUGAAGUCCAGAGAGCCCUCUGGGAUGGACUUCACCCUCUACACGGUGAGGUCCUCACUGCUCCCUGGUCUGCUGGUGAUCCUCUGUGUUGUUGUGGUCGCUGUGAACCAGAGGACCAGGAGAGGAGAGCAGCGUCCAGCUCAGACAGACAGUUAA